UACGGGGGGGGGCAAGCGUUGUUCGGAAUUACUGGGCGUAAAGGGCUGGUAGGCGGCCAACUAAGUCGGAUGUGAAAUCCCCAGGCUUAACCUGGGAACUGCAUCCGAUACUGGUCGGCUUGAAUCCGGGAGAGGGAUGCAGAAUUCCAGGUGUAGCGGUGAAAUGCGUAGAUAUCGGGAGGAACACCAGUGGCGAAGGCGACUACCUGGCCUGUUCUUGACGCUGAGGCGCGAAAGCUGAGGGAGCAAACGGG
This 254-nucleotide ribosomal RNA is filed under the name uncultured bacterium. Its description in RNAcentral is "partial 16S ribosomal RNA". It matches the Rfam family "Bacterial small subunit ribosomal RNA", at positions 524 to 776 of the family's 1533-position model. The record is from RNAcentral.